RNAcentral lists this ribosomal RNA (254 nucleotides) under uncultured bacterium. RNAcentral's name for it is "partial 16S ribosomal RNA". It matches the Rfam family "Bacterial small subunit ribosomal RNA", at positions 524 to 776 of the family's 1533-position model. The record is from RNAcentral.
UACGUAGGGUGCGAGCGUUGUCCGGAAUUAUUGGGCGUAAAGAGCUCGUAGGCGGUGUGUCACGUCGGCCGUGAAAACCUGCAGCUUAACUGUGGGCGUGCGGUCGAUACGGGCAUCACUGGAGUUCGGCAGGGGAGACUGGAAUUCCUGGUGUAGCGGUGAAAUGCGCAGAUAUCAGGAGGAACACCGGUGGCGAAGGCGGGUCUCUGGACAGUUCCUGACGCUGAGGCACGAAGGCCAGGGGAGCAAACGGG